UGAAGAUUUCAUAGAAAAUGGAGAAUAGAAAAUUGUUUUCCACAAGUAAAUAAGCCUUUUCAAUUUUGUCCCAAAUUUCCUCGAUGAAGGUCUCCAAAAGUGCCCUAUAUACUUCACAUCUCUAUUGGAAAUAAUAGUUGGAACAUCUUGUAGUUGCACUAUCUCAUGAAAGAAUAACCUAGCAAUAUGAGUUGUGUCAAAGGUUUUAGAAAAUGGGAUAAAAUGUGCCAUUUUUGAAAAACUAUCUACCACAGCAAAGAUUCAAAUACAUUUGUUUUCUUUGCAAGUCGCAAAACAAAAUCAAUACUCAAGUGAUCCAUGGUGCAUCCAUUUCAAGUGAAAGGAGUAUAUAAACCUGUGAUUUGUGCAUUGCCCUUACCAAAUAAACAAGCUAGACACAUGGUAGUGACAAUUAACCACCAUUGCUAAAAGUCUUGCCUCUACUGAACUGUCCUCGCAAACCAUUCCUUUUAAGUUCUCUAACAAUUUGCUUCCUUAAAGAACCUUUUGGAUUGCAUAACUAGUAGUCUUCAAAUAGUUUUUAUGCAAUUUGUAAGGUAAUUUUCCAACUUGAGAAUUGAGAUGGGCGUUGCAAAUUGGUUAUUAUUUUGCUAAGGAUUAGACCUGUAUUGGUUCCUUGAUAGGUUAAGGAAUCCUAAUUUGUAGUUAUUUAUGAAAGAUAGAAAUGAGAAUUGGAAAAUUGGUGGAGAAGAUUUACAAGAACUAAUAAAAAAAAAAGGAAAAAAAAUUAAGAGUAUCAUGAGAGGCUCUCUCGAGCAUGAAUUCCCUUUUGCCCCAGAGCUAACAAACUAGCUGGAAAAGAAAACACAGCUACACAAACCCCUCAAUCUUCUAUUUCCUACCCUUUAUAUAGAUUUCUUGAUGCUCUUUGCCAUGCGCUUUCCCGUAAAAAUCUCUAACAGAGUGUUACUUUGUUGGAUAACUUAUGGCCUCCUAGAAUACACCAACUGUUUCUUCUUUGAUCUCUCUUCCAAGCCUUCUGAAGUAUUGCCUAUAUCAUUGCCACCUCCUGGAGUAACCGCCUUAUCCUCGAGGCUGAAUUGAGAAAAUUGACUCUGAGGGCCUGUUUGGAUUAACUGUUGAAUACAACUGAUAGCUGUUAGUUGAUAGCUGUUACUAUUAGCUGAUAACUGUUAGCUGAUAGCUGUUACUGUUAGCUGAUAGCUGAUAACUGAUAGCUGAUGAUAGCUGUUUUAUAUUAAGUGUUUGGUAAAAUUAUAUUUAGCUGUUGCUGUUGAUAUGUGAAAUGACUAAUAAGGGUAUAUAUUUUAUUAUAUUAUAUUAUUUAUUUUAUUAACUCCGCCUAAGUAGUUUACGUUUAGCCGGUCCCAAGUCCGGACAAAGGAGGAGGGUUGCGGUAGGUG
This 1385-nucleotide unclassified non-coding RNA is filed under the name Hevea brasiliensis (rubber tree). Lineage: Eukaryota; Viridiplantae; Streptophyta; Magnoliopsida; Malpighiales; Euphorbiaceae. The record is from RNAcentral.